RNAcentral lists this transfer RNA (82 nucleotides) under Lingula anatina. RNAcentral describes it as "tRNA-Ser". It matches the Rfam family "tRNA". From Rfam's summary of the family: Transfer RNA (tRNA) molecules are approximately 80 nucleotides in length. Their secondary structure includes four short double-helical elements and three loops (D, anti-codon, and T loops). Further hydrogen bonds mediate the characteristic L-shaped molecular structure. tRNAs have two regions of fundamental functional importance: the anti-codon, which is responsible for specific mRNA codon recognition, and the 3' end, to which the tRNAs corresponding amino acid is attached (by aminoacyl-tRNA synthetases). tRNAs cope with the degeneracy of the genetic code in two manners: having more than one tRNA (with a specific anti-codon) for a particular amino acid; and 'wobble' base-pairing, i.e. permitting non-standard base-pairing at the 3rd anti-codon position. Lineage: Eukaryota; Metazoa; Brachiopoda; Lingulata; Lingulida; Lingulidae. The record is from Rfam by way of RNAcentral.
GCAGUCGUGGCCGAGUGGUUAAGGCGAUGGACUUGAAAUCCAUUGGGGUGUCCCCGCACAGGUUCGAAUCCUGUCGGCUGCG